RNAcentral lists this small RNA (28 nucleotides) under Arabidopsis thaliana (thale cress). RNAcentral's name for it is "ATSL003800". The record is from RNAcentral. Lineage: Eukaryota; Viridiplantae; Streptophyta; Magnoliopsida; Brassicales; Brassicaceae.
UUCUUCCUUUUUUUUUUUUUGAGUUUUU